RNAcentral lists this ribosomal RNA (253 nucleotides) under uncultured bacterium. RNAcentral's name for it is "partial 16S ribosomal RNA". It matches the Rfam family "Bacterial small subunit ribosomal RNA", at positions 524 to 776 of the family's 1533-position model. The record is from RNAcentral.
UACGGAGGGUGCAAGCGUUAUCCGGAUUCACUGGGUUUAAAGGGUGCGUAGGCGGGCAGGUAAGUCCGUGGUGAAAUCUCUGAGCUUAACUCAGAAACUGCCAUGGAUACUAUUUGUCUUGAAUAUUGUGGAGGUAAGCGGAAUAUGUCAUGUAGCGGUGAAAUGCUUAGAUAUGACAUAGAACACCAGUGGCGAAGGCGGCUCACUGGCCCGGUACUGACGCUGAGGUGCGAAAGCGUGGGGAGCAAACAGG